Molecule: long non-coding RNA, 701 nt
Organism: Bos taurus (domestic cattle)
Lineage: Eukaryota; Metazoa; Chordata; Mammalia; Artiodactyla; Bovidae
Source: Ensembl
GUAGAAGGUCUCUUCCUCCAGGCCCUAUACCCAGAAGAUCACAGCAGGACUUGAGCCCUGGCCACCGCCGAGGCUGAGUUGUCCACCACCCUGCACUGCUGGGUCUGGGUCAGCCUGGAGGCCACUCUUCAGCCCAGGACACCUGGCCCUCAUAGGGGCUGCUGAUCAGCCAUCUGCAAACCCCUAUCCUGGGAGAUGAUCCUGGAGAUGGGUCCAACAAUCUGUUCUGCCGUUCAGUACAAGCCUAGUUUAGGAGGAGAAAGUGCCCCCAGCUGAGUCGAGUUCAACUAUUCAAUAUGAGAGCUCUCUGUGAAACCUAAGCGACCAUGUGAAGCGGCUGCCAUUAAUUCCCCUGUGAUAGAGCUAAGGACUUCUAAUUGAAUGUCUUCAGAGAUGGAGCCUGCCUCAUUCCUUCUAGCCUGCCUGACCUGACUGCUAUUCUGAAAACGCCUUCUCUACUUAAGAAUAGAUGUGGCUGUCCUGCCAGCCCCAGAGAACACUCCUUUCUCCCUAACACUGUGCCCCUAACACCUUCUGAGAUGCCUGUUGGUUUCCCACUUUAAUCUCAGCCUUCCAUCCUGGCAUCUGCUUGUGUCCUGGGGCUCUGGGUUGGGCCUAUUAAAGAGACCACACAGGGGAUGGAGCGGGGAGCACCCAUCACCCCCAUCCUCCCCCUCAACCACCACUCGCCUUCUUUCUAG